UCAUAGGAUCCUUUAGGAUCCUUUUAUAUAAUGAAAUGAACAUUUU
Molecule: non-coding RNA, 46 nt
Organism: Picea glauca (white spruce)
Lineage: Eukaryota; Viridiplantae; Streptophyta; Pinopsida; Pinales; Pinaceae
Source: Rfam